AUAGAGGAACAAUUAAUUUGAUUCCCUCAUUUUCAUUUAUCGUCGGCCUUCGAGCAGAAGCCAGUCGUAGUGAUUUUUUGGUUUUCUUUUUCAAGUUCAAGUUUCCGGCUACUACAUCACCAGCGGCGAACGCUCUGCUUGCGUGAAUUUAUAGUUUUUAAAAAAAGCGUCCAAAAGGGCGCUUUUGUUACGGGCAAAGCUAUCUCGUUAGCCUCGCCAUUUUGAAUUGUUCGUUAGCGGACACGUGGAACUCUCCCGAGACGGGGCUCAGCUGGGUCCGCCAGACACUGGUAGCCAAACGGGGUCGAGAAGUAUCUCACCGGCCUUCCUGCGAUCGUUAGCGAUUGAUCGGGUAGCGUACCGGUUCCGCCGACUCCCUCCCCCGCAACUGUAGUUCGACCCCUUUUAGAGCGAGCCCCCGGUUAUUUCAACCCUUUCGAAGCGUUGCGAACGCUCUCGGUGGAGAAGAUUCCUGCGGUGCACCCCUGCAUUGAGUGAAUCAUCAGAUUCCAUCGGUGCACCCCUCCCGGUUGACGAACCGCAUCAUUCAUUAGUAAACCCUGCGCAGGUAUGUUGUAUCCAUUCAUGGCCAUGUACACUGAAACAACACACACACUCACACGCUCUUUAACAAUGUAUAUAUAAAGAAAAAAUCAAAGAACAUAAAGAUGAAUUUAACAUAAA
Molecule: long non-coding RNA, 684 nt
Organism: Armigeres subalbatus
Lineage: Eukaryota; Metazoa; Arthropoda; Insecta; Diptera; Culicidae
Exons: 3
Source: RefSeq, a predicted model, not a curated record